CUAGUGAUAGUUUAAAGAGAAUAAAGGCUUUGGGUGCCUUAGGUGCAGUAGCCUGAUCACUAGA
RNAcentral lists this transfer RNA (64 nucleotides) under Cryolaternula elliptica. Its description in RNAcentral is "tRNA-Pro". Lineage: Eukaryota; Metazoa; Mollusca; Bivalvia; Laternulidae. The record is from RNAcentral.